CCGGGGUUCAUGCCAUUCUCCUGCCUCAGCCUCCCGGUAGCUAGGACUACAGGCACCCACCACCACGCACUGCUAAUAUUUUGUAUUUUUAGUAGAGACGGGGUUUCACAGUGUUAGCCAGGAUGGUCUGUAGUUUCUCUUUUUUUAUAGCUAAGUAUUACAGAAUACAGUUAUCAUCUGAGGACCAGGCUAUCAGAAAACAAGGAACCAUAUCCAGCCCUGAUGGAAGGACUGAGCAUCAUGUGGAGAUCCUGAACUCUGAUGAAGAUGUCGUGAUUGGGUGUGACUUUGAGUUGUCUUCAUAGGCUGCGGCAGCAACAAGGCGCCCUCUUGGAAGCAGAGCAACCUUCACUGGACAAUGAGCCUUCUGGUAUCUUGGACUUCUCAGCCUUCAGAACUGACUGAUGCUGGGAAGUAUUCCCCCGCCCCGAGACAGAGUCUUGAUCUGUUGCCCACGCUGGAGUACAGUGGCGCGAUCCUCGGCUCACUGCAACCUCUGCCUCCUGGGUUCAAGCAAUUCUCCUCCCUCAGCCUCCCAAGUAGCUAAGAUUACAGGCACCAGCCACCAUGCUCUGCUAAUUUUUGUAUUUUUAGUAGAGACGGGGUUUCACCACAUUGGCUGUGCUGGUCUUGAACUCCUGAUCUCGUGAUUCGCCCACCUGAGCCACCCAAAGUGCUGGGAUUACAGGAGUGAGCCACUGCCCGCAGCCGCUGAGAAGUAUUAAAAAGGGCAAAGGAAGAGCAGAUCUUCUAUAGGAUACCUUUAUUUCUACAAAAGUGACUCCAGGCAAAACCUUCCAAAGCCUUCAACUACAGAAAAUCAAAUGGAACAAAAGCCCUAACAGGAAUUUCAAAGAAAACAAACACUUAGAGAUACCCAUUGUUCCUCUGGACAUCGACACUGGCAUAUGCCUUAAAUACAGAAUGGAAUGCCUGCAGUACAAUAAUGAGUAUUUUCUACCGCAGGCUUUCCAAAGUUUCCCAUGGAAGUACCUCUAUCAGCAGAGAAACGGGAGUGUUGAUUCUUUUCCUACCACCAAUCUCUA
Molecule: long non-coding RNA, 1046 nt
Filed under: Homo sapiens (human)
Lineage: Eukaryota; Metazoa; Chordata; Mammalia; Primates; Hominidae
Description: HSALNT0135148
Source: RNAcentral